GGUCCCAUAGCUCAGUUGGUUAGAGCGUCGUACUAAUAAUCCCUCAGUCACGAGAGAUCAUCAAGUAAAUGCGAAGGCCGAGAGUUCAAGCCUCUCUGGGACCA
Molecule: non-coding RNA, 104 nt
Organism: Coniochaeta pulveracea
Lineage: Eukaryota; Fungi; Ascomycota; Sordariomycetes; Coniochaetales; Coniochaetaceae
Source: the annotation of a GenBank genome assembly